RNAcentral lists this ribosomal RNA (164 nucleotides) under Senecio hoggariensis. Its description in RNAcentral is "5.8S ribosomal RNA". It matches the Rfam family "5.8S ribosomal RNA". From Rfam's summary of the family: 5.8S ribosomal RNA (5.8S rRNA) is a component of the large subunit of the eukaryotic ribosome. It is transcribed by RNA polymerase I as part of the 45S precursor that also contains 18S and 28S rRNA. Functionally, it is thought that 5.8S rRNA may be involved in ribosome translocation. The record is from RNAcentral. Lineage: Eukaryota; Viridiplantae; Streptophyta; Magnoliopsida; Asterales; Asteraceae.
UUAACGACUCUCGACAACGGAUAUCUCGGCUCACGCAUCGAUGAAGAACGUAGCAAAAUGCGAUACUUGGUGUGAAUUGCAGAAUCCCGUGAACCAUCGAGUUUUUGAACGCAAGUUGCGCCCGAAGCCUUUUGGCCGAGGGCACGUCUGCCUGGGCGUCACAC